AUUGAACGCUGGCGGCAGGCUUAACACAUGCAAGUCGAGCGGGGGAAGGUAGCUUGCUACCGGACCUAGCGGCGGACGGGUGAGUAAUGCUUAGGAAUCUGCCUAUUAGUGGGGGACAACAUCUCGAAAGGGAUGCUAAUACCGCAUACGUCCUACGGGAGAAAGCAGGGGAUCUUCGGACCUUGCGCUAAUAGAUGAGCCUAAGUCGGAUUAGCUAGUUGGUGGGGUAAAGGCCUACCAAGGCGACGAUCUGUAGCGGGUCUGAGAGGAUGAUCCGCCACACUGGGACUAAGACACGGCCCAGACUCCUACGGGGGGCAGCAGUGGGGAAUAUUGGACAAUGGGGGGAACCCUGAUCCAGCCAUGCCGCGUGUGUGAAGAAGGCCUUAUGGUUGUAAAGCACUUUAAGCGAGGAGGAGGCUACUUUAGUUAAUACCUAGAGAUAGUGGACGUUACUCGCAGAAUAAGCACCGGCUAACUCUGUGCCAGCAGCCGCCGUAA
This 501-nucleotide ribosomal RNA is filed under the name uncultured bacterium. RNAcentral's name for it is "partial 16S ribosomal RNA". It matches the Rfam family "Bacterial small subunit ribosomal RNA", at positions 30 to 523 of the family's 1533-position model. The record is from RNAcentral.